This 513-nucleotide ribosomal RNA is filed under the name uncultured bacterium. RNAcentral's name for it is "partial 16S ribosomal RNA". It matches the Rfam family "Bacterial small subunit ribosomal RNA", at positions 28 to 523 of the family's 1533-position model. The record is from RNAcentral.
GAUGAACGCUGGCGGCGUGCCUAAUACAUGCAAGUCGAACGCACAGCGAAAGGUGCUUGCACCUUUCAAGUGAGUGGCGAACGGGUGAGUAACACGUGGACAACCUGCCUCAAGGCUGGGGAUAACAUUUGGAAACAGAUGCUAAUACCGAAUAAAACUUAGUGUCGCAUGACACAAAGUUAAAAGGCGCUUUGGCGUCACCUAGAGAUGGAUCCGCGGUGCAUUAGUUAGUUGGUGGGGUAAAGGCCUACCAAGACAAUGAUGCAUAGCCGAGUUGAGCAACUGAUCGGCCACAUUGGGACUGAGACACGGCCCAAACUCCUACGGGAGGCUGCAGUAGGGAAUCUUCCACAAGGGGCGAAAGCCUCAUGGAGCAACGCCGCGUGUGUGAUGAAGGCUUUCGGGUCGUAAAGCACUGUUGUAUGGGAAGAACAGCUAGAAUAGGGAAUGAUUUUAGUUUGACGGUACCAUACCAGAAGGGGACGGCUAAAUACGUGCCAGCCGCCGCGGUAA